UACAGAGGGUGCAAGCGUUGUUCGGAAUCAUUGGGCGUAAAGGGCGUGUAGGCGGUCUGUUAAGUCAUGUGUGAAAUCCCUCGGCUCAACCGGGGAACGACGCAUGAAACUGACAAGCUAGAGUACCAAAGAGGGGGGUGGAAUUCCCGGUGUAGCGGUGAAAUGCGCAGAUAUCAGGAGGAACACCGAUGGCGAAGGCAGGUCUCUGGGCCACUACUGACGCUGAGAAGCGAAAGCGUGGGGAGCAAACAGG
Molecule: ribosomal RNA, 253 nt
Filed under: uncultured bacterium
Lineage: Bacteria
Description: partial 16S ribosomal RNA
Rfam family: Bacterial small subunit ribosomal RNA
Source: RNAcentral